Zonotrichia albicollis (white-throated sparrow) is the source of this 939-nucleotide non-coding RNA. NCBI's taxonomy places the organism in Eukaryota, Metazoa, Chordata, Aves, Passeriformes, Passerellidae. The record is from RefSeq and is a predicted model, not a curated record.
UGACUCUCUUGGGUAUGGUCAGACCUGAGAACAAAAAUGCCCAAGGAGCAAAUAAAGAAGUUAUGGAACAUGCCUGCUGGGAGAAGUCCAUGAGGGUACAUCUCUGUUUUCCUGCAGACUUAGAACAUGUGCUAUCAAGGUGUGCCAAGAUGAGCCAAUGGGAUUGUUACAAAAAGCCAUAAUGAAAACAUCUGGAAACACAUCAGACUUCCACAGACUUGUCAGUGAUUAAUCCAAAGAUGGAACUUCAGAAAAAAAGGGUUCAGACAUUUCCAGGGAGGAGGCACCUGCUUUUUGCCACAAUGCAAAAUAAUUCCACCCAUUUCUCCUCUGCCACAGCAGAGACUCUGUUUAUUGGCCCUGGAGGCUGACAAGGAACUGACACCUGUGCCCAAACCUUGGCAGAAAAAGGCACGUUCAUUGUGCAGCAGAGUUGUAGAUCCAUGUGUCCUCAAGGCAGCAGAGAGGAGCACACUUUACCCUUGCAAAGAGAAACAGAAAACUGCAUUACAAGAAUACCUUGAAGCUGGAAAGCUAGUAAUACCUAAUUGAGCAACUUGCCUGAUCUUGGCAUUAUUUCUGAAACUUGGAAGACAAAAGAGGAGGAGGCAGAGAACAUACUGAGGUUCACAGUGGCAUGAAAAAGGUGAGAAGAAGAAUAUUUGAAAUCUUACCUGUAAUGGUAAAAUCUUACCUGAGGUGGACAAUCAGAGACAAUGCUGUUCAGCUGGUAGAACUGCAUUGCUGACUGAGUCAGUGUUAGGAUUUUUUAUGAAAUUCAUAUUGCUUCUGAUGGUUUUGCCUGCUGGUGAUAAAAGAGGGAAUAUGUGAAGAGUGAUAAAGGUGGAGCAGCUUCCAUGUGAUGAAGGAAAUUUGACACUCUUCAGCCUGGAGUAAGAAUCAGCUGAUGGAGAAUUUGAUAGAGAUCUACAGGACUGG